Molecule: ribosomal RNA, 497 nt
Filed under: uncultured bacterium
Lineage: Bacteria
Description: partial 16S ribosomal RNA
Rfam family: Bacterial small subunit ribosomal RNA
Source: RNAcentral
GAUGAACGCUGGCGGCGUGCCUAAUACGUGCAAGUCGAGCGAACAGACGAGGAGCUUGCUCCUCUGACGUUAGCGGCGGACGGGUGAGUAACACGUGGAUAACCUACCUAUAAGACUGGGAUAACUUGGGGAAACCGGAGCUAAUACCGGAUAAUAUAUUGAACCGCAUGGUUCAAUAGUGAAAGACGGUUUUGCUGUCACUUAUAGAUGGAUCCGCGCCGCAUUAGCUAGUUGGUAAGGUAACGGCUUACCAAGGCAACGAUGCGUAGCCGACCUGAGAGGGUGAUCGGCCACACUGGAACUGAGACACGGUCCAGACUCCUACGGGAGGCAGCAGUAGGGAAUCUUCCGCAAUGGGCGAAAGCCUGACGGAGCAACGCCGCGUGAGUGAUGAAGGUCUUCGGAUCGUAAAACUCUGUUAUUAGGGAAGAACAAAUGUGUAAGUAACUAUGCACGUCUUGACGGUACCUAAUCAGAAAGCCACGGCUAACUACGUG